AGCAGUCGCGGUUAUACAAAGGGAGCGAGCGUUAGUUAUAAUGGCUUAAAGGGUCCGUAGAUGAUUAUAAUAUAUAUAUAAUUAGAGUUAAUAAAUUUAAUUAUAGAAUUAUAACAGGAGUGAUAAAAUAUAAUGAUAGUUAUAAGACUUGUAAAUGCGAAAGUUAUAAUUAAAUAUUAACUGACAUUGAGGGACGUAAGCUAGAGUAUCAAAAUGGAUUAGAUACCCAUGUAGUUCUAGCUGUAAACUAUGAACACUAUUUUAUUAUUUAAUAUAAUAAUAAUAAUAAAAGUUAAAAUUAAAAGUGUUCCGCCUGGAGAGUACGUUGGCAACAAUGAAACUCAAGACAAUAGACGGUUACAGACCUCAGCAGUGGAGCAU
This 381-nucleotide ribosomal RNA is filed under the name Hanseniaspora osmophila. RNAcentral describes it as "partial small subunit ribosomal RNA". It matches the Rfam family "Bacterial small subunit ribosomal RNA", at positions 510 to 940 of the family's 1533-position model. The record is from RNAcentral. Lineage: Eukaryota; Fungi; Ascomycota; Saccharomycetes; Saccharomycodales; Saccharomycodaceae.